RNAcentral lists this non-coding RNA (28 nucleotides) under Bombyx mori (domestic silkworm). The record is from RNAcentral. Lineage: Eukaryota; Metazoa; Arthropoda; Insecta; Lepidoptera; Bombycidae.
UACAAGAUGGCCAUCUGAUAGCAGAUUU